RNAcentral lists this ribosomal RNA (890 nucleotides) under uncultured organism. RNAcentral describes it as "bacterial SSU rRNA". It matches the Rfam family "Bacterial small subunit ribosomal RNA", at positions 554 to 1460 of the family's 1533-position model. The record is from RNAcentral.
UUGGGCGUAAAGGGUCUGCAGGUGGCUUCAUAAGUUGAGUGUGAAAUCCUACGGCCUUAACCGUGGGCUUGUACUCAAAACUAUGGAGCUAGAGUGUGUCAGAGGUUAGCGGAAUUUUGGGAGUAGGGGUAAAAUCCGUAGAUACCCAGAGGAACACCAAUAGCGAAAGCGGCUAACUGGGACACAACUGACACUCAGAGACGAAAGCGUGGGUAGCGAACAGGAUUAGAUACCCUGGUAGUCCACGCCCUAAACGAUGAACACUAGGUUUAAGAGGGAAUCGACCCCCUUUUGAACUAUAAGCUAACGCGUUAAGUGUUCCGCCUGAGUAGUACGAGCGCAAGCUUAAAACUCAAAGGAAUAGACGGGGGCCUACACAAGCGGUGGAGCGUGUGGCUUAAUUCGACGAUAAACGGGUAACCUUACCUGGGUUUGACAUCCUCCGAAUUCUGCAGAAACGUAGAAGUGCCCUUUUUGGGAGCGGAGUGACAGGCGCUGCAUGGUUGCCGUCAGCUCGUGUCGUGAGAUGUUCGGUUAAUUCCGCUAACGAGCGCAACCUUUGUCCUGUGUUGUAUUUCUCACAGGAGACUGCCCGGGUAACCGGGAGGAAGGAAGAGAUGACGUCAAAUCAGCAUGGCUCUUAUACCCAGGGCUGCACACGCGCUACAAUGGCCGGUACAACGGGGAUGCAAAGUAGUAAUAUGGAGCAAAUCCUAAUAAAACCGGUCCAAGUUCGGAUUGAGGGCUGCAACUCGCCCUCAUGAAGUUGGAAUCGCUAGUAACCGGGAAUCAUUAUGUCCCAGUGAAUCUGUUCAUAGGCAUUGUACUCACCGCCCGUCAUGGCAUGAGAGUUGGGAAUAUCCGAAGUCUCUCCGAUAAGGAGGGCAUAA